AACCACCACACAUGAUGGGGUUCUGGCCACCAACUCCCUGGUGCAAGAACCCCAUUACCGGGUUGUCCAAAAAAUUGGACAACCCAGCCUUUUAAGGACCACCUGCAAAACAAAAAAAGGGGAUCAAAAAAAAUCUUCCAGAAGCUACCUAGCCACAAGCAGGAAAAAGAAAAACACAAAAAAAAAAUAAGAGAAAAGAAAAAAAGAAGAAGAGAGAGAGAGAAGAGGAGAAGAGUGCGAUGCCCCGACAAAGAUAAAGAAGAGAAAGAGAAGGAGAAAGAAGAGAAAGAGAAGAAGGGGGGAGCGGCUAGGAGAGAAAGAAAGAAAGAAAGAGAAAGAAAGAAGAAAGAGAAAAGAAAAAGAAAGAGAGAAGAAAAGGGGAGCGGCUGGGAGA
RNAcentral lists this long non-coding RNA (394 nucleotides) under Theobroma cacao (cacao). RNAcentral's name for it is "long non-coding RNA (TCAC_LNC000562)". Lineage: Eukaryota; Viridiplantae; Streptophyta; Magnoliopsida; Malvales; Malvaceae. The record is from RNAcentral.